GACGAACGCUGGCGGCGUGCUUAACACAUGCAAGUCGAACGGAAAGGCCCUGCUUUUGUGGGGUGCUCGAGUGGCGAACGGGUGAGUAACACGUGAGUAACCUGCCCUUGACUUUGGGAUAACUUCAGGAAACUGGGGCUAAUACCGGAUAGGAGCUCCUGCUGCAUGGUGGGGGUUGGAAAGUUUCGGCGGUUGGGGAUGGACUCGCGGCUUAUCAGCUUGUUGGUGGGGUAGUGGCUUACCAAGGCUUUGACGGGUAGCCGGCCUGAGAGGGUGACCGGCAAAAUUGGGGAUGGGAGCGGGACCAGCAACACCAGGAAGCAAUGGGGGGGGAAGAUUAGAACAAGGGGGGAAGAUGGCGACAGAAACGCCGGGGGCGGGAGGAGGGCUUUCGGGGUGAAAAAGGCUUUCACUCUGACCGGAGCGGAAGUGACGAUAAUGGAUAAAAAACCACCGCCUAACUGCGU
Molecule: ribosomal RNA, 467 nt
Filed under: uncultured bacterium
Lineage: Bacteria
Description: partial 16S ribosomal RNA
Rfam family: Bacterial small subunit ribosomal RNA
Source: RNAcentral